This 595-nucleotide long non-coding RNA is filed under the name Helianthus annuus (common sunflower). Its description in RNAcentral is "sRNA HanXRQr2_Chr14g0639461". The record is from RNAcentral. Lineage: Eukaryota; Viridiplantae; Streptophyta; Magnoliopsida; Asterales; Asteraceae.
UUUAUAUCACACCAGCCGCAUAAUGUUCUUUCCCCUGUUUGCCUUAUGUCUGCAACUCAAAAGCACCUCACACACACAUCUCAUUAAAGCUAAACACCCCACCCCCCUGUUUCUUCUCCGGUGAGACCACCGGCGGCGGUGGCGGUUUCCGGUCGCGACUCUCCGACGCCCCCCUCUACUUCUCCAACACACGCACACCCUGAAUCACCCUGUUCCUCUCCCUCGCUCUGAACAGCCGGCCACCGGAGCCAAUGGCGGCGACGCACGGCGUCGCACAGCACCGGCGACGGGUGUGGCGGGCUCCGCCUCUACUUCGGUAACUUCUGUUCGAUUCUGUUCAAGAUCUUAAGCUUCAUGUUUCGGGUCACCUUUGGUUAGCAGCUAACUCGGUUCAGCAGGUUCGGACCUCGUUCCGGUUCAGUUUUAGUUCGGUUCGACAAGUCAACAUUGGUCUCGGGUCAACACCGGUCAAACCGAUCAGAUUUGAAGUUCGCCACGUCGGAGUUCAUGACAGAACCAUCGUUUUCGGGUGACCUCGGUGUUCCGUCCUCCUAUCUCAUCAACUCGUCAUACUUGGAUAAUCGGAAGACUUAGC